UAAGACCUUGUGCUUUUGAAGCGGCCGAUGCCUGAUUAGCUAGUUGGUAGGGUAAAGGCCUACCAAGGCUUCGAUCAGUAGUUGGUCUGAGAGGNCGACCAGCCACNCUGGGACUGAGACACGGCCCAGACUCCUACGGGAGGCAGCAGUGGGGAAUUUUGGACAAUGGGGGCAACCCUGAUCCAGCCAUGCCGCGUGAGUGAAGAAGGCCUUCGGGUUGUAAAGCUCUUUCAGUCGGGAAGAAAAGGUUACGACUAAUACUUGUAAUCCAUGACGGUACCGACAGAAGAAGCCCCGGCUAACUACGUGCCAGCAGCCGCGGUAAUACGUAGGGUGCGAGCGUUAAUCGGAAUUACUGGGCGUAAAGGGUGCNCAGGCGGUCUUGUAAGUCAGAUGUGAAAUCUCCGGGCUCANCCUGGGAACU
RNAcentral lists this ribosomal RNA (424 nucleotides) under uncultured beta proteobacterium. Its description in RNAcentral is "bacterial SSU rRNA". It matches the Rfam family "Bacterial small subunit ribosomal RNA", at positions 202 to 622 of the family's 1533-position model. The record is from RNAcentral. Lineage: Bacteria; Pseudomonadati; Pseudomonadota; Betaproteobacteria.